GAUGAACGCUGGCGGCGUGCCUAAUACAUGCAAGUCGAGCGAACGGACGAGAAGCUUGCUUUUCUGAUGUUAGCGGCGGACGGGUGAGUAACACGUGGAUAACCUACCUAUAUGACUGGGAUAACUUCGGGAAACCGGAGCCAAUGCCGGAUAAUAUUUUGAACCGCAUGGUUCAAAAGUGAAAGACGGUCUUGCCGUCACUUAUAGAUGGAUCCGCGCUGCAUUAGCUAGUUAGUAAGGUAACGGCUUACCAAGGCAACGAUGCAUAGCCGACCUGAGAGGGUGAUCGGCCACACUGGAACUGAGACACGGUCCAGACUCCUACGGGAGGCAGCAGUAGGGAAUCUUCCGCAAUGGGCGAAAGCCUGACGGAGCAACGCCGCGUGAGUGAUGAAGGUCUUCGGAUCGUAAAACUCUGUUAUUAGGGAAGAACAUAUGUGUAAGUAACUGUGCACAUCUUGACGGUACCUAAUCAGAAAGCCACGGCUAACUACGUG
RNAcentral lists this ribosomal RNA (497 nucleotides) under uncultured bacterium. RNAcentral describes it as "partial 16S ribosomal RNA". It matches the Rfam family "Bacterial small subunit ribosomal RNA", at positions 28 to 507 of the family's 1533-position model. The record is from RNAcentral.